CAGUCGCCGCGGGAAUACGUAGGGUGCGAGCGUUAAUCGGAAUUACUGGGCGUAAAGCGUGCGCAGGCGGUUGUGUAAGACAGGUGUGAAAUCCCCGGGCUUAACCUGGGAACUGCGCUUGUGACUGCACAGCUAGAGUAUGGCAGAGGGGGGUGGAAUUCCACGUGUAGCAGUGAAAUGCGUAGAGAUGUGGAGGAACACCGAUGGCGAAGGCAGCCCCCUGGGCCAAUACUGACGCUCAUGCACGAAAGCGUGGGGAGCAAACAGGAUUAGAUACCCGUGUAGUCCAUGUCUCUUAUAC
Molecule: ribosomal RNA, 301 nt
Filed under: uncultured bacterium
Lineage: Bacteria
Description: partial 16S ribosomal RNA
Rfam family: Bacterial small subunit ribosomal RNA
Source: RNAcentral